Molecule: long non-coding RNA, 370 nt
Organism: Dermacentor silvarum
Lineage: Eukaryota; Metazoa; Arthropoda; Arachnida; Ixodida; Ixodidae
Exons: 2
Source: RefSeq, a predicted model, not a curated record
GGUUCCUGUGAUCGCUGCAGUUGCCACGCAAGCCCAGCCAGAAGGAGUGCCUGCAAUACUUUUGUUUUGCCGUUUUGAGGAACAUCAUACCAAGCCUUACUGCUACAAAAUGUCAGCAAAUGUUUGCUCCUUGUCAAGACAUCACAAUAAUUUCGAUGACACCAGCCCCAGCACAUUGGAAUCAACUAUGGAAAUUGCCACCGAAGAUCCCGCUGCUGCUCCUCAAUUUGGAUCACCCGCGCCAAAACGGACAAGUUGACGUAAUCCCCACGUGAUCACCUUCUCUGGCACUUUCUGUUAAUCAGCUCUUGCUGAAGUCAAAUGAGAAGUGCCAUAAUCUAAAAUAGAUGGUGCCACUUCAAAUUUGCAA